AACGUAGGAGGCGAACGUUAUCCGGAGUUACUGGGCGUAAAGCGCGUGUAGGCGGUGGUGUAAGAUCUGCGUGAAAGCUCUCAGGCUCAACCGGGAGAGGGCGUAGAAGACUGCACGACUGGAGUGCGGCAGAGGGACAUGGAAUUCCGGGUGUAGUGGUGAAAUGCGUAGAUAUCCGGAGGAACACCAGAGGCGAAGGCGGUGUCCUAGGCCGAGACUGACGCUGAGACGCGAAAGCGUGGGUAGCGAACGGG
This 254-nucleotide ribosomal RNA is filed under the name uncultured bacterium. RNAcentral's name for it is "partial 16S ribosomal RNA". It matches the Rfam family "Bacterial small subunit ribosomal RNA", at positions 524 to 776 of the family's 1533-position model. The record is from RNAcentral.